RNAcentral lists this ribosomal RNA (221 nucleotides) under uncultured bacterium. RNAcentral's name for it is "partial 16S ribosomal RNA". It matches the Rfam family "Bacterial small subunit ribosomal RNA", at positions 15 to 228 of the family's 1533-position model. The record is from RNAcentral.
GAUCAUGGCUCAGGACGAACGCUGGCGGCGUGCAUAAUACAUGCAAGUAGAACGCUGAAGGAGGAGCUUGCUUCUCCGGAUGAGUUGCGAAUGGGUGAGUAACGCGUAGGUAACCUGCCUGGUAGCGGGGGAUAACUAUUGGAAACGAUAGCUAAUACCGCAUAAGAGUAGAUGUUGCAUGACAUUUGCUUAAAAGGUGCAAUUGCACCACUACCAGAUGG